Aedes aegypti (yellow fever mosquito) is the source of this 73-nucleotide non-coding RNA. The record is from Rfam. NCBI's taxonomy places the organism in Eukaryota, Metazoa, Arthropoda, Insecta, Diptera, Culicidae.
CAUCUCAUGGCGUAGUGGUAACGCGCCCCAACUAGAGAUCGGGGAGUCGUGAGUUCGAUUCUCACUGAGAAGA